UUUUCCAAAACCCGCAAAACAUUUAGUCUAGAAAAGCGGUACAUUAGGAAAAAUGAAUCCUAACAUACUAUUUCGAUCGCAAAGUCAAAAUCGUAAUUCGGACCUUCUUCUCAAACAACAUAAAAAUUACUUUACGCAAAGGAAAAAACGUAUUUUCGGAAAAGUGAAGUCACAAAAACUUAUGAAGGUAUGUUUCCCAAAACAUCAAAUAAACCUCUAAAACAGUCCGUCGUGACAAUAAACUAACAAAGAUCGUCGAUUGGGCCCGACAAAUACUUUAGCCUUCUUAAACAAACGCAAAUCGACCUUCCUUUUUGCAGGAACGGUUACUCAUACAUCCAACA
Molecule: long non-coding RNA, 344 nt
Filed under: Brassica napus (rape)
Lineage: Eukaryota; Viridiplantae; Streptophyta; Magnoliopsida; Brassicales; Brassicaceae
Description: long non-coding RNA (BNAP_LNC023133)
Source: RNAcentral